AUCCUGUGGUGAGGGCAUGUACGAAGUAACUACUUGAAUCUUUCCCAUACCUCAUAUAAGGAUUCAUCAUCCAUCUGCAAGAAAAUGGUGAUCUCAUUUCACAACUU
Molecule: non-coding RNA, 107 nt
Organism: Gossypium hirsutum (cotton)
Lineage: Eukaryota; Viridiplantae; Streptophyta; Magnoliopsida; Malvales; Malvaceae
Source: Rfam